GUAGGUGAACCUGCGGAAGGAUCAUUACAGAGUUCAUGCCCUUCGGGGUAGACCUCCCACCCUAUGUUAUACCAACCAUUGUUGCUUUGGCGGGCCGCCCUUGGGGCCAUCGGCUUCGGCUGCUGCGUGCCCGCCAGAGACCCCCCAACCCUGAAUAUUAGUGUCGUCUGAGUACUAUAUAAUAGUUAAAACUUUCAACAACGGAUCUCUUGGUUCUG
Molecule: unclassified non-coding RNA, 218 nt
Filed under: rhizosphere metagenome
Description: partial ribosomal RNA internal transcribed spacer region
Source: RNAcentral